Molecule: long non-coding RNA, 804 nt
Organism: Macrobrachium nipponense
Lineage: Eukaryota; Metazoa; Arthropoda; Malacostraca; Decapoda; Palaemonidae
Exons: 2
Source: RefSeq, a predicted model, not a curated record
CCUUACGUAGUAAAAGUUAUUUCAUUAGAGUGACAAAUGAAUUAUGCGUCAGGUUUAUGCUACAGAUGAUUUCUUGAGCCCUAAAAGAAAUUACGAGUUAUGUUCAGGAAAAUUUAUUCACCUCGUGCUGUGUUUUAAACUUCCAUGAAAUAUAAGUAAAAGCAGGAGUAAGAAAUAAAAAUAACACUUUCAAGGAUAUCCAUGGAUCGCAUUCGGUCAUGUUCCAAGAAGCUCUUUAGACGCCACUAAGACUUUAGAGUCCUUGGCAAAUGACAACAUCGUUCCGGACGGUAGAAGUUUACGGGAGUUGCCAAGUGAUUCGCUUUUCCUUGGGAUUGGCGUAUUCAAUUCGUUUCCUUAAUUUAUCGUAGCGUUAUUGGGCCUGUUAUUUAGUUUUUACGAAGAAGCCGUUUUUCUCGCAGCAGACAACAGUUUGUGUUUGAGAUUUCCAUCGAUUGCUGUCACUUCGUUGGUCAAGUUACAACAAACAAGAGGCGUCUGCAAGGUCAACUUGCUGGAGGGACAAGUAUUCAAGAUGAUUUGCAGACGCGGCAAUGAGAGAGGCGCGGGGUGGAGGGGGAGGCAGAUUUGUGAACCUUGCAUUGUUAGGCUGAUAUUUAUAAGGAUCCAAGAUGUCCACAAGAUAGAUGUAGGCAUCUAUUAAUUUAAUUUAAAAGUUUUCCAUGCUGUGCUUUUCAUUGAAAUCCUGAUAGGUUGCAAGUUAGGUUCCUCGGAUAUUCUGCAGUCGUAAACCUAUCAUUUACCUGUAUGAAUUAAAAAAAGAGUAAAUAAUGGAUCUUCAGU